GGAGAGUUGGCAGAGCGGCUGAUUGCGGCAAGUUGCUAGCUUGUUGGCUGGUUAAUUCCGGCCCGUGGGUUCGAAUCCCACACUCUCCUCCA
Molecule: transfer RNA, 92 nt
Filed under: Burkholderia ubonensis
Lineage: Bacteria; Pseudomonadati; Pseudomonadota; Betaproteobacteria; Burkholderiales; Burkholderiaceae
Description: tRNA-Ser
Rfam family: tRNA
About the family: Transfer RNA (tRNA) molecules are approximately 80 nucleotides in length.
Source: RNAcentral